GAUGAACGCUGGCGGCGUGCUUAACACAUGCAAGUCGAACGAAGCACUUUAUUUGAUUUCCUUCGGGACUGAUUAUUUUGUGACUGAGUGGCGGACGGGUGAGUAACGCGUGGGUAACCUGCCUUGUACAGGGGGAUAACAGUUGGAACCGGCUGCUAAUACCGCAUAAGCGCACAGCAUCGCAUGAUGCAGUGUGAAAAACUCCGGUGGUAUAAGAUGGACCCGCGUUGGAUUAGCUAGUUGGUGAGGUAACGGCCCACCAAGGCGACGAUCCAUAGCCGACCUGAGAGGGUGACCGGCCACAUUGGGACUGAGACACGGCCCAAACUCCUACGGGAGGCAGCAGUGGGGAAUAUUGCACAAUGGGCGAAAGCCUGAUGCAGCGACGCCGCGUGAGCGAAGAAGUAUUUCGGUAUGUAAAGCUCUAUCAGCAGGGAAGAUAAUGACGGUACCUGACUAAGAAGCACCGGCUAAAUACGUG
This 481-nucleotide ribosomal RNA is filed under the name uncultured bacterium. RNAcentral's name for it is "partial 16S ribosomal RNA". It matches the Rfam family "Bacterial small subunit ribosomal RNA", at positions 28 to 507 of the family's 1533-position model. The record is from RNAcentral.